This is a long non-coding RNA of Carassius auratus (goldfish), 553 nucleotides long. RefSeq lists it as uncharacterized. Lineage: Eukaryota; Metazoa; Chordata; Actinopteri; Cypriniformes; Cyprinidae. The transcript is spliced from 3 exons. The record is from RefSeq and is a predicted model, not a curated record.
CGCCGCGUCUCCAUGAGAUCGGACGAAAGCAUGUUGGUGAAAGAUAAUUGGAUCUGCUCUGAUUAUCCUCAUCGGCCGCUGGAGAUCAGGUCAUCCUCGUUGAGUAGAUCCUCUCAGAGACACUCGUGAGGAAGAGCCAUGUGUCGUUGAUCUCAGAGACACCGAUUACUUCCACUUCGGUUUCUUGGACCUGCCCCACAGCAAUCUGCAAGUUUUACAAAAAAAUAAAAUGAUAUGAGCACUGGAAGUUUCUAGUGUUAGACUGCAUCCCUAUUCACUUGUUUAUACUACGCCCAAAAAGUAUGUACACUUAAGAGUACAUACUUAAGAGUGUGUAGAAAAAGAGCUGCCAAAGUUUGAGACCUACUACUUUGUCAUAAUUGCAACUAUUAGUUAUGUGCACCCUGUUAUCAUUUAAAGUGUGCAAUACAGAUUAGAGACCAGGUGAAUCAAUGUAUAGAAACGUUAUGUAGAUUUUCAUUAAAGCAUACUCAUGAAUAUGCUGCUGAGUCUUCUGGAGUCUCUAACCUGCUUUAUCUCAUCACAGUUAAUA